RNAcentral lists this small RNA (169 nucleotides) under Microbispora sp. ATCC PTA-5024. RNAcentral describes it as "c-di-AMP riboswitch aptamer (ydaO/yuaA leader)". It matches the Rfam family "c-di-AMP riboswitch aptamer (ydaO/yuaA leader)". From Rfam's summary of the family: This family represents a conserved RNA structure found upstream of the ydaO and yuaA genes in Bacillus subtilis and related genes in other bacteria. The record is from Rfam by way of RNAcentral. Lineage: Bacteria; Bacillati; Actinomycetota; Actinomycetes; Streptosporangiales; Streptosporangiaceae. RNAcentral also lists the same sequence under 1 other name.
GAGGACCGGACGCCGAGUCUUCGAAGCACCGAGCGUGUGGAGGGGAGCCGGGGACCCAACUGCGAGUCGGGCCGAGUGCGGCCCGUGUCGACAAGGGGUGAAUCCGAAAGGUAGGGCUGCUCCGGCCCGAACCCGUCAGCUAACCCGGUAGGCGCCCAGGAGUGCCGUA